UACGGAGGAUCCAAGCGUUAUCCGGAAUCAUUGGGUUUAAAGGGUGCGUAGGCGGUUCGGUAAGUUUCGUGUGAAAUCUUCGGGCUCAACUCGAAGUCUGCACGAGAUACUGCCGGGCUUGAGUGUGGGAGAGGUGAGUGGAAUUUCCGGUGUAGCAGUGAAAUGCGUAGAGAUGUGGAGGAAUACCGAUGGCGAAGGCAGCCCCCUGGGCCAAUACUGACGCUCAUGCACGAAAGCGUGGGGAGCAAACAGG
This 253-nucleotide ribosomal RNA is filed under the name uncultured bacterium. Its description in RNAcentral is "partial 16S ribosomal RNA". It matches the Rfam family "Bacterial small subunit ribosomal RNA", at positions 524 to 776 of the family's 1533-position model. The record is from RNAcentral.